Molecule: ribosomal RNA, 501 nt
Filed under: uncultured bacterium
Lineage: Bacteria
Description: bacterial SSU rRNA
Rfam family: Bacterial small subunit ribosomal RNA
Source: RNAcentral
GAACGAACGCUGGCGGCGCGUCUUAAGCAUGCAAGUCGAACGGCAAGAGGUAGCAAUACCUCCUAGAGUGGCGGACUGGUGAGUAACACGUGGGUGACAUACCCUCAAAUGGGGAUAGCUAUUAGAAAUAGUAGAUAAUACCGAAUACGAGCACAGGGGUUAGAGAUCUGUGAGGAAAGGAGCUAAGGCUCCGCUGAAGGAAUGGCCUGCGGCCCAUUAGCUAGUUGGUGAGGUAAGAGCCCACCAAGGCGAUGAUGGGUAUCCGGCCUUAGAGGGUGAACGGACACAUUGGGACUGAGAUACGGCCCAGACUCCUACGGGAGGCAGCAGCUAAGAAUAUUCCGCAAUGGACGAAAGUCUGACGGAGCGACGCCGCGUGGAUGAAGAAGGCCGGAAGGUUGUAAAAUCCUUUUGAAACUGAAGAAUAAGCGUUGUAGGGAAUGACAGCGUGGUGACAGUAGGUUUUGAAUAAGCAACGGCUAAUUACGUGCCAGCCGCAGC